RNAcentral lists this ribosomal RNA (1120 nucleotides) under Escherichia coli. Its description in RNAcentral is "partial 23S ribosomal RNA". It matches the Rfam family "Bacterial large subunit ribosomal RNA", at positions 344 to 1469 of the family's 2925-position model. Lineage: Bacteria; Pseudomonadati; Pseudomonadota; Gammaproteobacteria; Enterobacterales; Enterobacteriaceae. The record is from RNAcentral.
GGAAAGGCGCGCGAUACAGGGUGACAGCCCCGUACACAAAAAUGCACAUGCUGUGAGCUCGAUGAGUAGGGCGGGACACGUGGUAUCCUGUCUGAAUAUGGGGGGACCAUCCUCCAAGGCUAAAUACUCCUGACUGACCGAUAGUGAACCAGUACCGUGAGGGAAAGGCGAAAAGAACCCCGGCGAGGGGAGUGAAAAAGAACCUGAAACCGUGUACGUACAAGCAGUGGGAGCACAGAGCAAUCUGUGUGACUGCGUACCUUUUGUAUAAUGGGUCAGCGACUUAUAUUCUGUAGCAAGGUUAACCGAAUAGGGGAGCCGAAGGGAAACCGAGUCUUAACUGGGCGUUAAGUUGCAGGGUAUAGACCCGAAACCCGGUGAUCUAGCCAUGGGCAGGUUGAAGGUUGGGUAACACUAACUGGAGGACCGAACCGACUAAUGUUGAAAAAUUAGCGGAUGACUUGUGGCUGGGGGUGAAAGGCCAAUCAAACCGGGAGAUAGCUGGUUCUCCCCGAAAGCUAUUUAGGUAGCGCCUCGUGAAUUCAUCUCCGGGGGUAGAGCACUGUUUCGGCAAGGGGGUCAUCCCGACUUACCAACCCGAUGCAAACUGCGAAUACCGGAGAAUGUUAUCACGGGAGACACACGGCGGGUGCUAACGUCCGUCGUGAAGAGGGAAACAACCCAGACCGCCAGCUAAGGUCCCAAAGUCAUGGUUAAGUGGGAAACGAUGUGGGAAGGCCCAGACAGCCAGGAUGUUGGCUUAGAAGCAGCCAUCAUUUAAAGAAAGCGUAAUAGCUCACUGGUCGAGUCGGCCUGCGCGGAAGAUGUAACGGGGCUAAACCAUGCACCGAAGCUGCGGCAGCGACGCUGAUGCGUUGUUGGGUAGGGGAGCGUUCUGUAAGCCUGUGAAGGUGUGCUGUGAGGCAUGCUGGAGGUAUCAGAAGUGCGAAUGCUGACAUAAGUAACGAUAAAGCGGGUGAAAAGCCCGCUCGCCGGAAGACCAAGGGUUCCUGUCCAACGUUAAUCGGGGCAGGGUGAGUCGACCCCUAAGGCGAGGCCGAAAGGCGUAGUCGAUGGGAAACAGGUUAAUAUUCCUGUACUUGGUGUUACUGCGAAGGGG